GGAAUUGUUCGCAAUGGGCGCAAGCCUGACGACGCAACGCCGCGUGGAGGAUGAAGGUCUUCGGAUUGUAACCUCCUGUUGCCCGGGACGAACCGCUCCGACCUAACACGUCGGAGUCUGACGGUACCGGGUGAGGAAGCCCCGGCUCACCCUGUGCCAGCAGCCGCGGUAAUACACAGGGGGCGACCGUUGUGCGGAAUUACUGGGCGUAAAGGGCGCGUAGGUGGCCUGUUAAGUCGAACGUGAAAUCCCCGGGCUCAACCCGGGAACUGCGUCCGAGACUGGCAGGCUUGAAUCCGGGAGAGGGAUGUGGAAUUCCAGGUGUAGCGGUGAAAUGCGUAGAUAUCUGGAGGAACACCGGUGGCGAAGGCGGCAUCCUGGACCGGUAUUGACGCUGAGGCGCGAAAGCCAGGGGAGCAAAC
RNAcentral lists this ribosomal RNA (422 nucleotides) under uncultured bacterium. RNAcentral's name for it is "bacterial SSU rRNA". It matches the Rfam family "Bacterial small subunit ribosomal RNA", at positions 358 to 773 of the family's 1533-position model. The record is from RNAcentral.